Long non-coding RNA from Drosophila elegans, 951 nucleotides. RefSeq lists it as uncharacterized. The record is from RefSeq and is a predicted model, not a curated record. The transcript is spliced from 2 exons. Lineage: Eukaryota; Metazoa; Arthropoda; Insecta; Diptera; Drosophilidae.
ACCUCUUAACGAGGUAAAAAAGUCGUGAUUAUCUCCCCUUCAACAAAUAAUAUAUCUGAUAUCAAAUUCUGUGACGACAAAUGAAUAAGCGUUCGACUAAAUAAAUAGCAUAAACUGAACCCAGUUUCUGGCGCCAUCUGCGAGUAGGUGGCGGAAACAGUUCGUGGCAAAUGUGGCGGGUCAACAGGGCUAAGUGUCAAGCACUGAUCUGGAGAGAGCAUUUCUAUUCUUUCGCUGUUAAGGGGCUUGCCGCCAUAAUUGGGCGGCACCAGCGAUCUUUUCCCUUUGAGCCUUCCACCAGAGAGGUUGAUACCGCAGUCAAAAGUUUUUUUUAUGGCGCCAGAAGUUUUUACUCGGAAGGGGGAGAGACGUUAUACCCAGCCAACGAUUCAAGGUGUUAAUAAAGUCAACGAAAUUAGGCCUGCAGCAUUGCUGUAUUUUUUGUUACAACGCCCGAACAAAGCGAAGUCUAGUGGGAACACUCAAGCCGAUCACCGAAAUCCGCCUACGCCUGGAGUGCUUCGAGGGAGGGGCGACAGUGGCAACGCGACCGCCUCGCAAAGCGAGCGGAGGAGUUCGGCGACGAAAAGUGCUAAAGAAAUAAAUAUUAAAUUAUAUAAUUCACCCCUGUCCCGACCCGAACUAAUGUGCUAAACUUAAUUGUGGCCCGUUGCGGCAAAAAAAAAGAUAUAUCGGUAGUGCGAAAAAGUAGAAAUUUGGCGGUGUAAAAAAAAAGGAAAAGAAGAAAUUAACACUAAAAUCAAGAAAAUUUAAGUUGUAUUUUUUAGGUAUACCAAAUAAAAGUAUUUUGAGAAUAACUUUUGAACGGAGCAUCAGAUCCAAGUAAAUUUGUUGUCAUUCGACGCGUUUGAAUAAAAUUUAAACUGUGUUAAAAAAGUGUAAUAUGUAUUUUACCAACCCAAACUCCAAAUAAAUUUUUUUUUAGUAUGA